Molecule: ribosomal RNA, 320 nt
Filed under: uncultured bacterium
Lineage: Bacteria
Description: bacterial SSU rRNA
Rfam family: Bacterial small subunit ribosomal RNA
Source: RNAcentral
GAUGAACGCUAGCGGCAGGCUUAACACAUGCAAGUCGAGGGGUAUAAGUCUUCGGAUUUAGAGACCGGCGCACGGGUGCGUAACGCGUAUGCAAUCUACCUUUUACAGUGGGAUAGUCCAGAGAAAUUUGGAUUAAUACCGCAUAGUAUUAUGAAAUGGCAUCAUUUUAUAAUUAAAGUCACAACGGUAAAAGAUGAGCAUGCGUCCCAUUAGCUAGAUGGUAAGGUAACGGCUUACCAUGGCUACGAUGGGUAGGGGUCCUGAGAGGGAGAUCCCCCACACUGGUACUGAGACACGGACCAGACUCCUACGGGUGGCUG